This is a long non-coding RNA of Ricinus communis (castor bean), 1150 nucleotides long. RefSeq lists it as uncharacterized. The transcript is spliced from 4 exons. NCBI's taxonomy places the organism in Eukaryota, Viridiplantae, Streptophyta, Magnoliopsida, Malpighiales, Euphorbiaceae. The record is from RefSeq and is a predicted model, not a curated record.
UACUCUUAUAUACCAUUUGUAAUUGUCUUCUAUGCAUUGCAGUAGAUACUUGUUGUGACAUGACUUAAUCACUUUGUAUUGAAAGUGAUUUUGUACUAUAUAGAAGUUUAUGAUUGUUUCAAGAACUUCCUUGUCUCUAUACAUUUGUCCUUGUAAUACUCUAAAAUUAAAUAAAAUAAUAAUAAAAAUAAUAAUAACAAAUAAAUAAAUAAUAAAGGAAGAAAAAAACUUUUUUUCCUUCAUUCCUUUCCCUUCUCCUCCUUCUUCCUCCCUGCUGCUGCUGCUGCUGCUCUCUCUCUCUCUCUCUCUCUCUCUCUCUCUCUCUCUCUGUUUUCCACUAUUUUCGGCCACAACCCCGCCGCCCAACCACCAAGCUUCUCUCCCUCUUCCUUCUUCUCGUCGGCGCCACCCUUUCCUUCUCCCUCUCGUCAUUUUCUUCGCUGCAGCAAAAUGGGAAGGCGUCCUCUUUACUGCCAUCGCCAGAACUACCACCUGCAGCCAUUUCUUUGUAAAUGCGAUGCCGGAAUCAAGCUCCCCACCGUCGACAACCCCAAGCUAGCUUCCCCUUCACCAUUUUUCCUCCACCAACAGCCUUGGGAGAGUCUCAGUGGAGCAACUCCCUUCUCACCGCAAGGGUUAGGCGGUGAUUUUAGUGUUUUCGGACUCCUCGCAAUUCAAGCUUCACGUAGGCAUAUCCGAAUUCGAAAUCCGGCACCGUUGGCAGUACCAGAUUUCAGACCCUGAUGUUUUUCGGAUGCGCAAUCUUGGAUUUUAGCUCGAUAAUCUGUCCGUCCAGCUAGCUCCAUCCGGAGUGUAGGAUCAGACUGCAGUGCGGCAGAACUAAUGAGGCGGCAGUAGAACAUGCCACCUGAUGGGUUGCAUCAGGACCGCGCGCGCUGGUAUUAAUCAGAAACAGGUGACAGCUAGGUUCUCCGUCGUCUUCCUCUUAACAGCCCGACUUCCUUCUCCUUUGGACUUAUUGUAAUUAAUUUCUACUUUUGUAUUUUGAACUAUUUAAAAUUCUAGACUUUCCGCAGUGGUGUACCUAGCAUAUUAUAUUUGAAUUUGGUCUGUAACAAGUUAUGGAAUGUUUGCCAACAUCCAGUUAGAAAUCUAUGAAUGAAAUGUUGGGCUGUUUUAAUAGUAUGUA